CUAGGGAGUCAGUUCGGCUGGAUUUGGAUACAGGUGUUGCAUGGCUGUCGUCAGCUCGUGUCGUGAGAUGUCGGGUUAAGUCCUUUUAACGAGCGCAACCCUCAUUGCAUGUUAAUUUUUCAUGCGAGACUGCCCUGGUUAACAGGGAGGAAGGUGGGGAUGACGUCAAGUCAGCAUGGCCCUUACACCUUGGGCUACACACGUGUUACAAUGGCCGGUACAAUAAGUCGCAAUACCGUAAGGUGGAGCUAAUCUAUAGAAAACCCGGUCCCAGUUCGGAUUGGGGGCUGAAACUCGCCCCCAUGAAGUCGGAAUCGCUAGUAACCGUGAAUCAGCACGUCACGGUGAAUACGUUCCCGGGUCUU
This 365-nucleotide ribosomal RNA is filed under the name uncultured bacterium. Its description in RNAcentral is "bacterial SSU rRNA". It matches the Rfam family "Bacterial small subunit ribosomal RNA", at positions 1004 to 1382 of the family's 1533-position model. The record is from RNAcentral.